RNAcentral lists this ribosomal RNA (631 nucleotides) under uncultured Basidiomycota. RNAcentral describes it as "LSU rRNA". It matches the Rfam family "Eukaryotic large subunit ribosomal RNA", at positions 20 to 635 of the family's 3401-position model. Lineage: Eukaryota; Fungi; Basidiomycota. The record is from RNAcentral.
ACUACCCACUGAACUUAAGCAUAUCAAUAAGCGGAGGAAAAGAAACUAACCAGGAUUCCCCUAGUAACUGCGAGUGAAGCGGGAAAAGCUCAAAUUUAAAAUCUGGCGGUCUUUGGCCGUCCGAGUUGUAGUCUGGAGAAGCGUCUUCCGCGUUGGACCGUGUACAAGUCUCUUGGAACAGAGCGUCAUAGAGGGUGAGAAUCCCGUCUUUGACACGGACUACCAAUGCUUUGUGAUGCGCUCUCAAAGAGUCGCGUUGUUUGGGAAUGCAGCGCAAAAUGGGAGGUGAAUUCCCUCUAAAGCUAAAUAUUGGCGAGAGACCGAUAGCGAACAAGUACCGUGAGGGAAAGAUGAAAAGCACUUUGGAAAGAGAGUUAAACAGUACGUGAAAUUGCUAAAAGGGAAACGCUUGAAGUCAGUCGCGUCGUCCGGAACUCAGCUUUGCUUCGGCUUAGUGCACUUUCCGGUUGACGGGCCAGCAUCGAUUUUGACCGCUGGAAAAGGGCUGGAGGAAUGUGGCACCUUCGGGUGUGUUAUAGCCUUCAGUCGCAUACAGCGGUUGGGAUCGAGGAACGCAGCGCGCCUUAUGGCUGGGGUUCGCCCACAUUCGCGCUUAGGAUGCUGGCAUAAU